This 409-nucleotide ribosomal RNA is filed under the name uncultured bacterium. Its description in RNAcentral is "bacterial SSU rRNA". It matches the Rfam family "Bacterial small subunit ribosomal RNA", at positions 354 to 777 of the family's 1533-position model. The record is from RNAcentral.
GUAAGGAAUAUUGGGCAAUGGAGGAAACUCUGACCCAGCAACGCCGCGUGAAGGAAGAAGGUCUUCGGAUUGUAAACUUCUGUUAUUAGGGAAGAAGAUAGUGACGGUACCUAAUGAGUAAGCCCCGGCUAACUACGUGCCAGCAGCCGCGGUAAUACGUAGGGGGCAAGCGUUGUCCGGAUUGACUGGGCGUAAAGGGAGCGUAGGCGGUUUGGUAAGUCAAAUGUGAAAGCCCGUAGCUUAACUACGGAAUUGCAUUUGAUACUGCUAGACUUGAGUUCAGGAGAGGUAAGUAGAAUUCCUAGUGUAGCGGUGGAAUGCGUAGAUAUUAGGAGGAAUACCAGUGGCGAAGGCGGCUUGCUGGAAUGACACUGACGCUGAGGCUCGAAAGCGUGGGGAGCAAACAGGA